This 479-nucleotide ribosomal RNA is filed under the name uncultured bacterium. RNAcentral describes it as "partial 16S ribosomal RNA". It matches the Rfam family "Bacterial small subunit ribosomal RNA", at positions 28 to 507 of the family's 1533-position model. The record is from RNAcentral.
GAUGAACGCUGGCGGCGUGCUUAACACAUGCAAGUCGAGCGAGAAGUUUUGAAAAGAUUCUUCGGAUGAAAUUUAAAAUGGAAAGCGGCGGACGGGUGAGUAACGCGUAGGCAACCUGCCCCAUACAAAGGGAUAGCAUUUGGAAACGAAUAUUAAUACCUUAUGACACUUAACUAGUGCAUGCUAGGUAGGUCAAAGAUUUAUCGGUAUGGGAUGGGCCUGCGUCUGAUUAGCUAGUUGGUGAGGUAACGGCUCACCAAGGCGACGAUCAGUAGCCGACCUGUGAGGGUGAACGGCCACAUAGGAACUGAGACACGGUCCAAACUCCUACGGGAGGCAGCAGUGGGGAAUAUUGCACAAUGGGGGAAACCCUGAUGCAGCAACGCCGCGUGAACGAUGAAGGCCUUUGGGUCGUAAAGUUCUGUUCUAGGUGAUGAAAACUGACAGUAACCUAGGAGAAAGCCCCGGCUAACUCCGUG